This 225-nucleotide long non-coding RNA is filed under the name Gossypium barbadense (sea-island cotton). RNAcentral describes it as "long non-coding RNA (GBAR_LNC006985)". Lineage: Eukaryota; Viridiplantae; Streptophyta; Magnoliopsida; Malvales; Malvaceae. The record is from RNAcentral.
GAAUUUAUUGUGUAAUUCUAGAAUGGAUGACUUACACAAGAAAACAAAAAAAUAUGGUAUGCAAAUAUAAAAAAUAAAACCAAAAAAAACCAAAGACAACAAUCUAAACAAAGUUCAAAAUGAUUCAGUAGUUAAUAGUUGCAUCCCGUAUAAAAUAAGAAAAUGUAAAGAAAUGUAACUAAUAGCUAUCAUUGGAGUCUGACUCUGAUUAUGCUAUCGCCUCUU